RNAcentral lists this ribosomal RNA (118 nucleotides) under Betta splendens (Siamese fighting fish). Lineage: Eukaryota; Metazoa; Chordata; Actinopteri; Anabantiformes; Osphronemidae. The record is from RNAcentral.
GCUUAUGGCCAUACCACCCUGAGCACGCCCGAACUGUCUGAUCUCGGAAGCUAAGCAGUGUCGGGCCUGGUUAGUACUUGGAUGGGAGACCGCCUGGGAAUACCAGGUGCUGUAAGCU